ACAGCCCGGGCCGCGGGCGAACCCGCGCGGAGGCGAGGCACCCGGCACGGCAAAGCGGACUCGGGGUGGAGUGGCCGCCGGCCGACGCGCGCCGCACUUCACCCCGCCGAGCACAGGAACUAGCCGACUACAUUUUACUGGUUUCCUGGACUUGCUUCUAAAGACACAGCAAGAGAAGGAGCACAACAGAAGAGGAAAAGCAGGCUUCCCGCCAAUCAGGGAGCCGAUAUGGGGCCGCAUCCCAAGACCCUGGGAUCAGGACCUGAGCCAAAGGCAGGCGCUUUAAGACUGAGCCACCCAGUCACCCGGAGAGGCCUAUUUCUUAUUAGUAAAUUCUCCCCUUUUAAAUAUUUCUCCUCCACUUUCUUCCUGCUGUGGCUUUGCAGAAAUCCACAGCUUUCUCAACUGUCCAUGUUCUUCCCUGGAAGCAAAAAUAAUGUUUCUAUUUUUUUAGUUUAGGAGAACACCAGCAAUUCUUCGACCAUUAUCAGAAUUUUCUAAGUAAAGGGCUUCUCUCUCUUUUUAGAGAGAGAGAAUGCUAAGCAGGCUCCACGUUUAGCAUGGAGCCCAAAGUGGGGCUACAUCUCAUGACCCUUAGAUCAUGACCUGAGCCCAAGUCAAGAGUCUGAUGCUUAACCAACCCUGGUGCCCGCAGGAACCUCCUCUUUUAAACACAAUUCUGGAUUCAUUGACUUUAGAGAGAGAGACAGAGCAGAGCACCUGUGAUUUUGACUUCCAAGCUCCACUUCCCCUGGAUCCCUCAGAGAGCUCCCCGGAGGAGAGACUCACCCCCAACCCUGCAGGUAGAGCAGAGCCCCUGCUGCAUUCUGAGGGGGGAGCCCCAAAAGCCCAGUGGGAAGGAGCUGGAGGAGGGAUGGGGAGAGGACAGGUGGAGGUGUUUUCUUCCCCUCCAACUCUGGUGACCCUCCCCAAAUGAGAAGAGAAAAUUGCUCACAUUAUUUUACACUUGAGGCAAUCCAGUGAAAUCCAAGUGUUAAUCUUUCUGAUUUAGCUGUUCUUUCAAGUGCAAAGGAUUUAGAGGUCAAUGAAAAGCUGCCAGAAUAUUGUCUCCUUCACUCUGGCUUCUGCCAACUUAAUUUGAAAUUGGCUUUGUCAACUCUUCUUUUCUCAUCUGGGUAGAACCCAGACAGAUUUCUGCCUGCAGAUGACAAAAUCCUGCCCACCCCCACCCCAGAUCUGCUUCUCUAGUCCAGGUUGGGAGGUUGGCUCAAAACGACAUUGGUGACCGUUUGGGCCACUGGGGGUUGUCCCAAGGACAAAUCAGCUGCUGCCCAGGGCCUGAUGGUUUUCCUGAAGACUUGCAGUUUUUCAGAAAGGGAAUGGUAGGGAAUUGGAGAGAAACAAUAAUAGCUGAAAGCCUAAAAUACCCUGGAAUUUCGUCAGGUAUGACAUCAUGGAACUAUUAGCAACUCUUUGAAAGUUAUCCCAAGGGUUAGCACCUUAUACAGCCUGGCA
Molecule: long non-coding RNA, 1476 nt
Organism: Lutra lutra (Eurasian river otter)
Lineage: Eukaryota; Metazoa; Chordata; Mammalia; Carnivora; Mustelidae
Exons: 3
Source: RefSeq, a predicted model, not a curated record